ACUCAAAUGAAUUGACGGGGGCCCGCACAAGCGGUGGAGCAUGUGGAUUAAUACGUCACUAACCGUAGAACCUUACCCAGGCUUGACAUCCCGGGAACGCCGGUGAAAACCGGGGGUGCCCCGCAAGGGGAGCCCGGAGACAGGUGUUGCAUGGCUGUCGUCAGCUCGUGUCGUGAGAUGUUGGGUUAAGUCCCGCAACGAGCGCAACCCUCACCGCCUGUUGCCAGCACGCAAGGUGGGCACUCUGGCGGAACUGCCCGGGUAACCGGGAGGAAGGUGGGGACGACGUCAAGUCAGCAUGGCCCGUACGCCUGGGGCUUCACACAUGCUACAAUGGCCGGUACAGAGGGCUCCGAACCCGUGAGGGGGAGGCAAUCCCACAAAGCCGGUCUCAGUUCGGAUCGCAGGCUGCAACUCGCCUGCGUGAAGGCGGAAUCGCUAGUAACCGCCGGUCAGCUAAACGGCGGUGAAUACGUUCCCGGGCCUUGCACACACCGCCCGU
Molecule: ribosomal RNA, 502 nt
Filed under: uncultured bacterium
Lineage: Bacteria
Description: partial 16S ribosomal RNA
Rfam family: Bacterial small subunit ribosomal RNA
Source: RNAcentral